CACCGCGGUUAGACGAGAAGCUCAAGUUGACAGACAGCGGCACAAAGUGUGGUUAGGGAACUUUAACAUGACUAAAGUCAAACGCUUUCAAAGCAGUCAUACGCAUCUGAAAGUAUGAGGAUCAUUAACGAAAGUAACUUUACUCCACCUGAAUCCACGUAAGCUAAGACA
RNAcentral lists this ribosomal RNA (171 nucleotides) under Brachirus orientalis (oriental sole). Its description in RNAcentral is "partial 12S rRNA". Lineage: Eukaryota; Metazoa; Chordata; Actinopteri; Pleuronectiformes; Soleidae. The record is from RNAcentral.